RNAcentral lists this ribosomal RNA (800 nucleotides) under bacterium SCS_30Z1_28. Its description in RNAcentral is "bacterial SSU rRNA". It matches the Rfam family "Bacterial small subunit ribosomal RNA", at positions 37 to 887 of the family's 1533-position model. The record is from RNAcentral.
UGACUGUCACUUUGUGGCAUGCAGUCGAGCGAGACCUUCGGGUCUAGCGGCGGACGGGUGAGUAACGCGUGGGAAUGUGCCCUUCUCUACGGAAUAGUCCCGGGAAACUGGGUUUAAUACCGUAUACGCCCUUCGGGGGAAAGAUUUAUCGGAGAAGGAUCAGCCCGCGUCUGAUUAGGUAGUUGGUGGGGUAAUGGCCUACCAAGCCUACGAUCAGUAGCUGGUUUUAGAGGAUGAUCAGCCACACUGGGACUGAGACACGGCCCAGACUCCUACGGGAGGCAGCAGUGGGGAAUCUUAGACAAUGGGCGCAAGCCUGAUCUAGCCAUGCCGCGUGAGUGAUGAAGGCCUUAGGGUCGUAAAACUCUUUCGCCAGGGAUGAUAAUGACAGUACCUGGUAAAGAAGCCCCGGCUAACUCCGUGCCAGCAGCCGCGGUAAUACGGAGGGGGCUAGCGUUGUUCGGAAUUACUGGGCGUAAAGCGCGCGUAGGCGGACUAUUAAGUCAGGGGUGAAAUCCCGGGGCUCAACCCCGGAACUGCCCUUGAUACUGGUAGUCUUGAGUUCGAGAGAGGUGAGUGGAAUUCCGAGUGUAGACGGUGAAAUUUCGUAGAUAUUCGGAGGAACACCAGUGGGCGAAGGCGGCUCACUGGCUCGAUACUGACGCUGAGGUGCGAAAGUGUGGGGAGCCAACAGGAUUAGAUACCCUGGUAGUCCACACCGUAAACGAUGAUGCAUUCGUCGCAGCAUGCUUGUCAGUGACCCACCUUACGGAUUAGCAUGCAGUCUGGGGAGUACGUCG